This is a long non-coding RNA of Melanotaenia boesemani (Boeseman's rainbowfish), 244 nucleotides long. RefSeq lists it as uncharacterized. Lineage: Eukaryota; Metazoa; Chordata; Actinopteri; Atheriniformes; Melanotaeniidae. The transcript has 3 exons. The record is from RefSeq and is a predicted model, not a curated record.
GGGUGAUGUUCAGCAUGGUGUAAAAAGUAGAUUCGUUCCAGUUGUCGUCCUUGGGAUUUGAGCCGACGGAGGGCAGGAGUGAACCAGGGUGCAGAGCGGGUGAAAGAGAUGGAUCUGGUUUUCAGUGGAACAUGAGUAUUCAGAAGAGUAUGGAGACUGUUGUUAUAGUGGGAAACCAGGUCAUCAGGUGAGCAGUUGGCAUGUGGACUGGGUAAAUUGAUGAUUUCAGAAGAAAAAGUCUCAA